UAUAAAAAAUUAAUAAAAAUAUAAAAUGUAUCUAAAAUAUAUUAAAAAAAUAAAACAUAAAAUCACAAGAUAACUUUUUGAACUUUAGCUCUUAUAGUGAUGAGAGAUAAGAUUAAAGUUUAGUAAAUUACAGAUAGUAAAUAUCUAUUUAAUAGUAAUAUUUUAUUAUUUAUACACUUAGAUUAAUAAUACAAUUUGAAUAAUAUCUCACUCUAUUUUAUUUGUAAUUUAGAAAAAUAUUUUAAUUAUAUUCUUAAUUCUUUCUCCGAUUAUUUUAGAUCUUUUUUUUUCUUUUUUUUUUGGUAUAAUCGGUUUUCGUUUCAUCAUAGGAAAAUUAGAAAAUAAGUAAGAUUGCAUGGGAGAGAAGAGGAGGAGUUUUUGGGAUAGAAAGAAAAAGGAGAAAAUAAAAGCCUCUCUAAUCCCAAAAGGGUAAAACGGAAAAGGGCAAAUAGCAAAACUAAAGUAGAAAGAGAAGAGGGAUGGGAUUAGGAAGCAAAGCAGCGGAUUGGGGUUUUAAGGCGUUCACUGCAAGUCUAGGCGUCGCCACCAUUUAUCUCACGGCCACUUUCUCUGUGAACGUUUAUAGAGGCCUUUCUUGGCACAACUCGCAAUCGAAAGUCGACAAGCAAGGUGCUGCUGAGCAAGCUCAAUGACUUCAAUUUGUACUGCUGCCUCAUAUAUUUGGUCUUGCCUUUUUAAGGAACCAUGAAAUUACCAUGUAAACGUUGAUUUUAACUCCAGUAUUCUCCACCAGGGGUAACAAAAUGAUCGCAAGACUACUAAAACUCAAAUUUGGCACGUGUUUUUUACAUGGAUGUAGCAAUUUGGAUUGCAUUUGUAGUUUGAUUCUGCAGCCAACAUCAUUUGGUUUGCUCGCAAUUUUGAUCAGAGGUUACAUGUAUGUCCUGGAAAAUAAAUAGUUCUAUAACUAGUGGGCCUUCCUCUUUUAAACGUACCUUCAGUAUAUUACAAGAAGGAUGCUAUCCAUGCCUCUUUUAUUUAUUUAUUUAAGUGGGCUUGUCAAGUA
Ricinus communis (castor bean) is the source of this 1027-nucleotide long non-coding RNA. RefSeq lists it as uncharacterized. The record is from RefSeq and is a predicted model, not a curated record. Lineage: Eukaryota; Viridiplantae; Streptophyta; Magnoliopsida; Malpighiales; Euphorbiaceae. The transcript is spliced from 2 exons.